RNAcentral lists this ribosomal RNA (617 nucleotides) under uncultured Alphaproteobacteria bacterium. Its description in RNAcentral is "bacterial SSU rRNA". It matches the Rfam family "Bacterial small subunit ribosomal RNA", at positions 28 to 691 of the family's 1533-position model. Lineage: Bacteria; Pseudomonadati; Pseudomonadota; Alphaproteobacteria. The record is from RNAcentral.
AGCGAACGCUGGCGGCAGGCCUAACACAUGCAAGUCGAACGAAGCCUUCGGGCUUAGUGGCGGACGGGUGAGUAACGCGUGGGAACGUGCCCUUUGGUUCGGAAUAGCCCCGGGAAACUGGGAGUAAUACCGGAUAAGCCCUACGGGGGAAAGAUUUAUCGCCAAAGGAUCGGCCCGCGUUGGAUUAGGUAGUUGGUGGGGUAAUGGCCUACCAAGCCGACGAUCCAUAGCUGGUUUGAGAGGAUGAUCAGCCACACUGGGACUGAGACACGGCCCAGACUCCUACGGGAGGCAGCAGUGGGGAAUCUUAGACAAUGGGGGAAACCCUGAUCUAGCCAUGCCGCGUGAUCGAUGAAGGCCUUAGGGUUGUAAAGAUCUUUCAGCUGGGAAGAUAAUGACUGUACCAGCAGAAGAAGCCCCGGCUAACUCCGUGCCAGCAGCCGCGGUAAUACGGAGGGGGCUAGCGUUGUUCGGAAUUACUGGGCGUAAAGCGCACGUAGGCGGAACAGAAAGUCAGAGGUGAAAUCCCAGGGCUCAACCUUGGAACUGCCUUUGAAACUCCUGUUCUUGAGGUCGAGAGAGGUGAGUGGAAUUCCGAGUGUAGAGGUGAAAUUCGU